CGUGAGUAACCUGCCUUGGAGUGGGGAAUAACACAGUGAAAACUGUGCUAAUACCGCAUAAUGCAUUUGGGUCGCAUGAUUCUGAAUGCCAAAGAUUUAUCGCUCUGAGAUGGACUCGCGUCUGAUUAGCUAGUUGGCGGGGUAACGGCCCACCAAGGCGACGAUCAGUAGCCGGACUGAGAGGUUGGCCGGCCACAUUGGGAUUGAGACACGGCCCAG
Molecule: ribosomal RNA, 219 nt
Filed under: uncultured bacterium
Lineage: Bacteria
Description: partial 16S ribosomal RNA
Rfam family: Bacterial small subunit ribosomal RNA
Source: RNAcentral